This 253-nucleotide ribosomal RNA is filed under the name Blautia schinkii. Its description in RNAcentral is "partial 16S ribosomal RNA". It matches the Rfam family "Bacterial small subunit ribosomal RNA", at positions 524 to 776 of the family's 1533-position model. The record is from RNAcentral. Lineage: Bacteria; Bacillati; Bacillota; Clostridia; Lachnospirales; Lachnospiraceae.
UACGUAGGGGGCAAGCGUUAUCCGGAUUUACUGGGUGUAAAGGGAGCGUAGACGGAUUAGCAAGUCUGAUGUGAAAGGCAGGGGCUCAACCCCUGGACUGCAUUGGAAACUGCCAGUCUUGAGUGCCGGAGAGGUAAGCGGAAUUCCUAGUGUAGCGGUGAAAUGCGUAGAUAUUAGGAGGAACACCAGUGGCGAAGGCGGCUUACUGGACGGAAACUGACGUUGAGGCUCGAAAGCGUGGGGAGCAAACAGG